This 334-nucleotide long non-coding RNA is filed under the name Homo sapiens (human). Its description in RNAcentral is "non-protein coding lnc-BRF1-31:16". The record is from RNAcentral. Lineage: Eukaryota; Metazoa; Chordata; Mammalia; Primates; Hominidae.
GAGGUGCAGCUGGUGGAGUCUGGGGGAGGCUUGGUAAAGCCUGGGGGGUCCCUUAGACUCUCCUGUGCAGCCUCUGGAUUCACUUUCAGUAACGCCUGGAUGAGCUGGGUCCGCCAGGCUCCAGGGAAGGGGCUGGAGUGGGUUGGCCGUAUUAAAAGCAAAACUGAUGGUGGGACAACAGACUACGCUGCACCCGUGAAAGGCAGAUUCACCAUCUCAAGAGAUGAUUCAAAAAACACGCUGUAUCUGCAAAUGAACAGCCUGAAAACCGAGGACACAGCCGUGUAUUACUGUACCACACUGGGGCCAGGGAACCCUGGUCACCGUCUCCUCA